UGCAUGGAGCAUUCGUAUAAUUUGUGAUUUUAAAGCUUCCUGUGUAAUAGCUUUGCCAAAAUAUUAAAAUUGAGAAUCUCUCAUGUUGUUCACAAUACAGGGCGAAACAGAGAGGAGUGGUAUUCACUAAAGUGUUAAGUUUUUUUUAAAAUUUUAGGCAAAAAUAGCCAAAUUGGAAUAUUUAUCUGUCAACUGUGUUUUUCAGUUAUAUUUAAAAAAAUAAAUAAAUGCAUUACUUUUGAAUUCUCCGCAAUAGUCAUGUGACAAGAUCUAGUAUUUAAUGGCAGAAUUGCAGGAAAUUAUGGUACAGCUAUAAUUCUUUUCCCAAAAUAGAUUUAACUUGCACUGGUUUAGAAUACCCACUUUAUCUUUUUUUCAGAGAUUUUAUUUGACAAUGCCCACAGUUGUUAAGGUGAUAAUAAAGAAAAACGUUUGAGUCCUGUUCAAUUGUUCUGAGAAAAUAAAAAAUACGUUUUAUUUCUACAAAGCCAACAAACAUUAAAGGACCACUAUAGUGCCAGGAAAACAUACUAAUUUUCCUGGCACUAUAGUGCCCUGAGGGUGCCCCCACCCUCAGGGUCCCUCCCCACGCCAGGCUCUAGGGGGAGGAAGGGGUUAAACUUACCUCUUUCUCCAGCGCCGGGCGGGGAGCUCUCCACCUCCUCUCCUCCUCGGCUGAAUGCGCAUACGCGGCAUUCAGCCAGUCCAUAGGAAAGCAUUCACAAUGCUUUCCUAUGGACGCUGGCGUCUUCUCACUGUGAAAAUCACAGUGAGAAGCGCGGAAGCGCCUCUAGCGGCUGUCAAUGAGACAGCCACUAGAGGCUGGAUUAACCCAUAGGUAAACAUAGCAAUUUCUCUGAAACUGCUAUGUUUACAGAAAAAAGGCUUAAUCC
This is a non-coding RNA of Pelobates cultripes (western spadefoot toad), 893 nucleotides long. The record is from the annotation of a GenBank genome assembly. Lineage: Eukaryota; Metazoa; Chordata; Amphibia; Anura; Pelobatidae.